AUUGAACGCUGGCGGCAUGCCUUACACAUGCAAGUCGAACGGUAACGGGUCUUCGGAUGCUGACGAGUGGCGAACGGGUGAGUAAUACAUCGGAACGUGCCUAGUAGUGGGGGAUAACUACUCGAAAGAGUGGCUAAUACCGCAUGAGAUCUACGGAUGAAAGCAGGGGAUCGCAAGACCUUGUGCUACUAGAGCGGCCGAUGGCAGAUUAGGUAGUUGGUGGGAUAAAAGCUUACCAAGCCGACGAUCUGUAGCUGGUCUGAGAGGACGAUCAGCCACACUGGGACUGAGACACGGCCCAGACUCCUACGGGAGGCAGCAGUGGGGAAUUUUGGACAAUGGGCGCAAGCCUGAUCCAGCAAUGCUGCGUGCAGGAUGAAGGCCUUCGGGUUGUAAACUGCUUUUGUACGGAACGAAAAGCCCUGGGUUAAUACCCUGGGGUCAUGACGGUACCGUAAGAAUAAGCACCGGCUAACUACGUGCCAGCCGCCGCAGUAA
This 498-nucleotide ribosomal RNA is filed under the name uncultured bacterium. RNAcentral describes it as "partial 16S ribosomal RNA". It matches the Rfam family "Bacterial small subunit ribosomal RNA", at positions 30 to 523 of the family's 1533-position model. The record is from RNAcentral.